UGUGGCGUUGUAAGGGGCGCUCAUAGUCCUUCCAACAAGACACGAUUUGCUGACCCAUUAUAUGCGCAAACUCAGGACUUCGGUCGCCCUGCAAGGUGAAUGUGGCGUUGUAAGGGGCGCUCAUAGUCGUUCCAACAAGUCACGAUUUGCUGACCCAUUAUAUGCGCAAACUCGGGACUUUGGUCGCCCUGCAAGGUGAAUGUGGCGUUGUAAGGGGCGCUCAUAGUCGUUCCAACAAGGCAUUUUGCUGACAGCAAGGCGAUUUGCUGACCCAUUAGAAGCGCAAACUCGGGACUUUGGUCGCCCUGCAAGAUAAAUGCUGAAUUCAAGAGAAUAACUACAAUGCCCUUGCAGUCGAGAUUCCUGUCCCAGCUAGACAUAUUGUCUGACAAGCUGCUGAAGCUGUUCAAAAACAGAGGAGGACAGAUUGACAAACGCC
This is a long non-coding RNA of Engraulis encrasicolus (European anchovy), 439 nucleotides long. RefSeq lists it as uncharacterized. NCBI's taxonomy places the organism in Eukaryota, Metazoa, Chordata, Actinopteri, Clupeiformes, Engraulidae. The record is from RefSeq and is a predicted model, not a curated record. The transcript is spliced from 4 exons.